ACUUUUAACAAUGGAUCUCUAGGCUCUCAUAUCGAUGAAGAACACAGUGAAAUGUGAUAAUUAAUGUGAAUUGCAGAAUUCAGUGAAUCAUCAAGUUUUUGAACGCACCUUGCACCUUUUGGUAUUCCAAAAGGUACACCUGUUUGAGUGUCA
This 153-nucleotide ribosomal RNA is filed under the name Phakopsora pachyrhizi. Its description in RNAcentral is "5.8S ribosomal RNA". It matches the Rfam family "5.8S ribosomal RNA". Rfam says of the family: 5.8S ribosomal RNA (5.8S rRNA) is a component of the large subunit of the eukaryotic ribosome. Lineage: Eukaryota; Fungi; Basidiomycota; Pucciniomycetes; Pucciniales; Phakopsoraceae. The record is from RNAcentral.